AGAGCAAGAUGGCGGCGCCCAUGGAAGUGGUGGUGUGUACUGACGCCGCGGCACAGCUCUGGAGCUGCGUGGUGUGGGAGCUUCAUUCGGGCGCCAACCUGCUCACCUACCGAGGCGGCCAAGCGGGGCCGCGAGGCCUGGCGCUACUCAAUGGCGAGUACCUGCUGGCGGCGCAGCAGGGCAAGAACUACAUCUGCGCCUGGGAGCUGCAGCGUAAGGAUCAGCUCCAACAGAAAAUCAUGUGUCCUGGGCCUGUCACCUGUCUGACCACAGCACCUAAUGGCUUGUAUGUCCUGGCAGGAAUUGCAGAGAGCAUCUACCUGUGGGAGGUCUGCACCGGGAACCUCCUGGUCAUCCUCAGCCGGCACUACCAGGACGUGUCCUGCCUGAAGUUUACAGGGGAUGGCAGUCAUUUUGUCUCAGCGGGCAAGGACUGCUUGGCGCUGGCCUGGAGCCUCUGCAGUGUGCUACAGGCAGACCCAUCCAGGAUCCUUGCCCCAAGACAUGUCUGGUCCCAGCACACGCUCCCAAUCACAGACCUGCACUGCGGCUUCGGAGGCCCCAUGGCCCGGGUGGCCACCGCUUCAUUGGACCAGACUGUGAAGCUCCAGGCUUCCCAUUCCUGCAGCUCUGGGCCAUCUCCUCGGGGGACCUGCUGCUGUCUGUCUUGUUUGACAUGGGCAUCACAUCUGUGACCAUGGACCUGGCCGAGCACCACAUAUUCUGUGGAGGCAGCGAUGGCUCCAUCUUCCAGGUGGACCUGUGCAGCUGGCCCGGACUGAGGGAGCACAGCUUCCAGCCUGAGCAGAACACAGGGAAGGUCUUCAAAGGACACAGGAACCAAGUGACAUGCCUGUCAGUGUCAACAGACGGCAGUGUUCUGCUCUCUGGCUCCCACGAUGAAUCAGUGAGGCUGUGGGACGUGAAGAGCAAGCAGUGCUUGCGCACAGUCACCCUCAAAGGCCCAGUGACCAAUGCAGCCAUCAUUCUGGCCCCACCCAGCAUGCUGAACCCUGAAUUCAGGCCCAGCCUGCCCCUGCCCCACUUCAACAAGCACCUGCUGGGGGCUGAGCAUGGAGAUGAAGCCCAGGGUGGGGGCCUGCGCCUGCAGCUAGGGCUCCACCUGCAGGGCAAAGAGCCUAGCUACCUGGAGCGUCUGGAGCAGCUGCAGGCAGUGUUGUCCAGCUACCUGGAGAAGAACAUGCUAGGCAGCCAGAUGCUGCCAGCACGUGUGUUUGAUCUGGAGGAUGAGGUGCGUAGCCUGCGCAAGAUCAACAGGGACCUGUUCGACUUCUCCACGCGCAUCAUCACACGGCCCUCCAAGUGAGACGUGCUGGGCCACUGCCACACAAACACUUGCCACGGGGCUGUGAUCUAGUGUUUUAACAAAGGAUGGACUAAAGGAUGGACAAUUCUUAAAUUGUGCGCCUUGGUUGUUCUGUCCCUAUCUGGGCUGGGGCUUGGUUGGAAGGCCUCGGGCCUGGGGGAUGGGGUGCGGUGAGUGGGGGGCCGACUGCAGAGUCCCCAUUCAUGAGGGCCAAUCAGGCAGCAAUCAGUCCUUCACAGCUGUCCAAAGCUCAGUGUUCACAUCGUGUCCUGGGGCUACCUCAAAUACCCAAAUACCAACAGAACCUUCCAGAAAGCUGCCUGCAACUGACAGCCCUGCUUAACAAUCCAGAAGAUCUGUGAUUUAUCAGAGCUGUUGCCACUGCAGCUCAGAAGAGCUGUGCCCUCAGGUGGCAAGAUGUGACCAUACCCUGGGGGACCACAGCCUCCUAUGACAUGGACCUCUGGGUCCUCUUCCCUGUACUUUCCUUCCUUUCCACCCUGGCCCCUCCCCUAGUCCCCUGGCUCCUUGUAGCUGUUGCUCCCUCAGGGAAGGUCUGGAGAGAGACAAGAAGGUAUGCACUCUACCAGCCAUGGGUCCCCAGGACCCAACCAAAGGCCUCUGGAGGUCUCUUGAGACUGGGUGUUCAUUAUACUCCUAAUUAUGUCUCAGAUUCUGGCUAGGGACAGUGGCAGAUGUUGGGUGGAGCCAUAACUUGCCACCCAAAUAUUGGGUCCCCACCUGCUGUGGCUGGACUGAGAGACCAUCUGCCUGUACUUCCCCCAUCCAAGCCAGAACCUCACUAGCCCAGGCUGGCUUGGAAGGCAGGGUCCCCCUGCAGAUCUGCUUCAUCUGUCCCAGCCUCCUUACUAAGCCUUGCUGUAUUCCCUCAUUUGUCUGCCUCAGCUUCCCCGCACUGACUGGAGAAUUCAGCCUUUGUAAAUACUAGGCUGGGUGAAUGCCAAGCAAGAUCUAAGUCCCCAGUCUCCUGAGCAGUGGGGCAGCCUGCACCAAGCCCCCAUAAACUUCCUCGGGCAACAGGAGUGGGGCAGUGUAGACCAGUACAGCCCCAUUCCCCAUGGGAGGGAAGUGGACGCUGUGUGGUCCAGCCAUCAAGUACGGAGGAACCUUGAGGACAAAGGCCACUGAAGGGUUCCAUGGCAGGAAAUGUCUGGAACAGUAUUCGGGGGGAUAAUUCACAUUUGUGAGAUGUGCUUUCCCACUCCCCAAAAAGGCCUUGCAUGAAUUUCCUGUCAUUCAGCUGGAGUGGAAGGUCCCACUUGGCCCUUCUGUUAGGAGUGAUAGUGAAUCCUGACAGGCCUGCAGUCCAGCUGUCUCAUGUUCAGUGAGUGGAAUAGAGCCGGCACCCAGGACUGUGUGGUGACCUACUGAAAGAGUGCCAGGUGACAGUAUAGACAAAAAGGAGAUGUCAGAGGAAGGGGAGCUAAGGCUGGCAACAUCUCAGCUUCAGGAAGAGCACCCUGAGGAUCUCUGAAGUGGUUGGUGACAAUGGCAACUAGGACAGACUAGCCCCAGACUGGAACCCUAAAGGACCCCAAGCCUGAUGUCCUUUGGAUCCCUGGCCAGGUGCCUAGACAGCCUGCCAUCUUGAGCCAAGCCAUCUCAUUAAAAACCAGCUCAAAGUGCA
This is an RNA transcript of Mus musculus (house mouse), 2975 nucleotides long. It is a transcript of the gene named WD repeat domain 18, with no coding region annotated. The transcript has 10 exons. The record is from RefSeq and is marked validated. NCBI's taxonomy places the organism in Eukaryota, Metazoa, Chordata, Mammalia, Rodentia, Muridae.